Molecule: long non-coding RNA, 1127 nt
Filed under: Crocodylus porosus (Australian saltwater crocodile)
Lineage: Eukaryota; Metazoa; Chordata; Crocodylia; Crocodylidae
Description: lncRNA (ENSCPRG00005013277.1)
Source: RNAcentral
GCGGCGGCUCCUUCUGGCUGGUGCCUGCGCUGGUCCCAGCUCUCUGGUAGUGCAGCCCUGAACUGGCAUGCUUCGUGCUUGCUCCAGACUCGCCUGUCCAGGCUCAGCAGCAGUGGCAGCUGCUGGGCAGGAACUGUUGGUUGUGGCAGGGGGAAAAUGGCCCCUCCCUCUCACCACUGCUGGGCAAUUCUUGGUGUAGCCACUCAGAGCCUGUGUUCUGCCAGGCUGCCCUCUGGCUAUCACUGCUGCUACACUGGGCAGCCCAGAGGCGGCAGUGAUGGUAGUGGAUCUGCAAGGCAGCCUGGCAUGGCAUGGACUCUGGAUGUCUGCACCAAGAACCACCUGGCAGCGGUGAGAGGGAGGGGCUGCUGCUGCUGAGCCUGAACUGGUGGGUCUGGAGCAGGCAUGGGGCAUGCUGGGUCAGGUCUGUGUGUGUGGGUCCCCACUGGUGUUGUGGGGCUGGGGUCAACAGCCAGGGUAGCCAGAAGGAGCUGCCCCAGCCCUGCUGCGUGGCCAGGAGGCAGCAGGAUUUGCCAUGGCUGGGCAGUGCAGAGGAGGUACGGGGUGGCCUGGGGCUAUAUGCUGUUGGUGGUGGUAGGGAGGUACCGCAAGGUGUGUGGGCUUCAGGCUGUUGCAGGGCAGGGGCAAGUGCUGAGCUGCUCAGGGGAGCACAUGCAGGAGGGCUCCCAUGUAACCACAUCCUCCCCCACAUACAGUCACACUCACCUAACCCCUCACAAACCCCACAUCCCCACACACAUCUGUGUGCCUCUGCGGGGAGUCCUGCUCACGGCUACAUGCACUCAUCCCACCUCACACAGGCACCCACAAACACCCCCAGCCUCCUGCCGUCUCCCCUGCAGCCCCCCCAAACCUCAUACCCACCCAUGUCCACAUAUCCCUCUAUACUCUCUCCCCCACACCCCACAAUGCAUGCACACAGCCCCCCACAAUGUUUCCAUCAUUCAUGUUCUUCAAUUUCCUCCUUAAGCUCAUUUGUUUUAGAUGAGCAUGGAUUUAUAGAUAUUUAUCAAGCAACAUGCUCCAUAAUCAUAGGCUUUUUUGGCAAAAAUGUGGAACACUAGUUUUUAAAGUUAAUAAAGGUCUUGUUUCAAUUUUUUUAGUGG